AAUUUUAUAUCUGAGCAUGGAUAGUAGAUCACCAUAUCCAAAAUCCAUGGUAGAUGGUUCUUCAUGAUGCUUGAUAGCCGCACACACAUCCAACCUCUACGGGUAUCCACACGAAGUCCUUGUGCUGAUCGAUCUCCUUGGGAGUGCUAGCUCGCAAAGAUACCAUCUUUUGGUUGAUCUAAGAGGAACAUGAUGAUGAUGAAGAAUAAGGAGAUCCUCUCUUUUUUUUUCUGGAUCCAUGCAUCUGAUCUCAACAAUAGAGAUCAAGAGAAGAACCCUUUCUUCUCAAUUUUUUCAUGCAUAAGAGAAAACCUUUCUCUCUUGCUUUUAUUCCCUUAAG
This 340-nucleotide long non-coding RNA is filed under the name Elaeis guineensis (African oil palm). RNAcentral's name for it is "long non-coding RNA (EGUI_LNC053513)". Lineage: Eukaryota; Viridiplantae; Streptophyta; Magnoliopsida; Arecales; Arecaceae. The record is from RNAcentral.